Molecule: ribosomal RNA, 252 nt
Filed under: uncultured bacterium
Lineage: Bacteria
Description: partial 16S ribosomal RNA
Rfam family: Bacterial small subunit ribosomal RNA
Source: RNAcentral
UACAGAGGUCCCGAGCGUUGUUCGGAUUUAGUGGGCGUAAAAGGUGCGUAGGCGGGAUCUUAAGUCAGAGGUGAAAGCCUGGAGCUCAACUCCAGAACUGCCUUUGAUACUGGGAUUCUUGAGUUCGAGAGAGGUGAGCGGAACUGCGAGUGUAGAGGUGAAAUUCGUAGAUAUUCGCAAGAACACCAGUGGCGAAGGCGAGUCCCUGGACAACUCCUGACACUGAGGCACGAAAGCUAGGGGAGCAACAGG